CCAAUAGCGUAUAUUAAAGUUGUUGCAGUUAAAAAGCUCGUAGUUGAAUUUCGGGGUCAGUAGGUUGGUCAUGCCACUGGUAUGUACUGGUCUCACUGAUUCCUCCUUCCUGAUGAACCGUAAUGCCAUUAAUUUGGUGUUGCGGGGAAACUGGACUGUUACUUUGAAAAAAUUAGAGUGUUUAAAGCAGGCUGACGCUUGAAUACAUUAGCAUGGAAUAAUGAAAUAGGACGUUCGAUCCUAUUUUGUUGGUUUCUAGGAUUGACGUAAUGAUUAAUAGGGAUAGUUGGGGGCAUUAGUAUUCAAUUGUCAGAGGUGAAAUUCUUGGAUUUAUUGAAGACUAACUACUGCGAAAGCAUUUGCCAAGGAUGUUUUCAUUAAUCAAGAACGAAAGUUAGGGGAUCGAAGACGAUCAGAUACCGUCGUAGUCUUAACCAUAAACUAUGCCGACUAGGGAUCGGAUGAUGUUAAUUUUAUAAUGACUCAUUCGGCGCCUUACG
This 500-nucleotide ribosomal RNA is filed under the name uncultured Glomeromycotina. RNAcentral describes it as "partial small subunit ribosomal RNA". It matches the Rfam family "Eukaryotic small subunit ribosomal RNA", at positions 591 to 1092 of the family's 1831-position model. Lineage: Eukaryota; Fungi; Glomeromycota. The record is from RNAcentral.